GUUCCGUAGGUGAACCUGCGGAAGGAUCAUUCAUAAUAAAGUGUUUUAUGGCACUUUUUAAAAAUCCAUAUCCACCUUGUGUGCAAUGUUAGAUCUCGUCAAUCUUGGCGAGAUUUUUAUACAUCAACUCAUUCUUUAACUAAUUUGUCUGAAAAAUAUUAUGAAUACUUAAUUCAAAAUACAACUUUCAACAACGGAUCUCUUGGCUCUC
Molecule: unclassified non-coding RNA, 211 nt
Filed under: plant metagenome
Description: partial contains small subunit ribosomal RNA, internal transcribed spacer 1, and 5.8S ribosomal RNA
Source: RNAcentral